Molecule: ribosomal RNA, 467 nt
Filed under: uncultured bacterium
Lineage: Bacteria
Description: partial 16S ribosomal RNA
Rfam family: Bacterial small subunit ribosomal RNA
Source: RNAcentral
GACGAACGCUGGCGGCGUGCUUAACACAUGCAAGUCGAACGGAAAGGCCCUGCUUUUGUGGGGUGCUCGAGUGGCGAACGGGUGAGUAACACGUGAGUAACCUGCCCUUGACUUUGGGAUAACUUCAGGAAACUGGGGCUAAUACCGGAUAGGAGCUCCUGCUGCAUGGUGGGGGUUGGAAAGUUUCGGCGGUUGGGGAUGGACUCGCGGCUUAUCAGCUUGUUGGUGGGGUAGUGGCUUACCAAGGCUUUGACGGGUAGCCGGCCUGAGAGGGUGACCGGCAACAUUGGGACUGAGAUACGGCCCAGACUCCUACGGGAGGCAGCAGUGGGGAAUAUGGCACAAUGGGCGGAAGCCGGAGGAAGAAACGCGGCGUGGGGGAUGACGGCCUUGGGGUGGUAAACCGCUUUGGCCGGGGACGAAGCGGGAGUGACGGUAAGGGGUAAAGAAGAACCGGCUAACUACGU